GGCGGCGUGCCUAAUACAUGCAAGUCGAGCGAUGAGGCCUUACGGGGCACCUUCGGGUGCUUGUCGGAGGUACAUCGGCGGCGAACGGGUGAGUAACACGUAGGCGACCUGCCCCGAAGACAGGGAUAACCACUGGAAACGGUGGCUAAUACCCGAUGUGCUCGGCGAUUCGGUUCGUCGAGUAAAGCUCCGGCGCUUCGGGAGGGGCCUGCGGCUUAUCAGCUAGUUGGUAGGGUAAUGGCCUACCAAGGCGAAGACGAGUAGGGGCGUGAGAGCGCGAUCCCCCACACUGGCACUGAGAUACGGGCCAGACUCCUACGGGAGGCAGCAGUCGGGGAUAUUGCACAAUCGGCGAAAGCCGGAUGCAGCGACGCCGCGUGGGCGAUGAAGGCCUUCGGGUUGUAAGCCCUUUUCUGGGGGAAGAGACAAGGACGGUACCCCAGGAAUAAGUCCCGGCUAACUACGUGCCAGCAGCCGCGGUAAAACGUAGGGGACAAGCGUUAUCCGGAUUUACUGGGCGUAAAGAGCGUUGAGGCGGUUUCGUAAGUUGGGCGUGAAAGCCCCGGGCUUAACUCGGGGAUGUCGUUCAAUACUGCGAAACUUGAGGGCAGCAGAGGGAGGUGGAAUUCCCGGAGUAGCGGUGAAAUGCGUAGAUAUCGGGAGGAACACCAGUGGCGAAGGCGGCCUCCUGGGCUGCUCCUGACGCUGAAGGCGAAAGCUAGGGGAGCAAACGGGAUUAGAAACCCCGGUAGUCCUAGCCGUAAACGAUGGGUGCUAGGUGUGGGGUAUAGACUCCCUCCGUGCCGAAGCUAACGCGUUAAGCAUCCCGCCUGGGGACUACGGCCGCAAGGCUAAAACUCAAACGAAUUGACGGGGGCCCGCACAAGCAGCGGAGCGUGUGGUUUAAUUCGAUGAUACACGAAGAACCUUACCUGGGCUUGACAUGCUGGUAGUAGUGAAGCGAAAGCGGAACGACCCUUCGGGGAGCCUGCACAGGUGCUGCAUGGCUGUCGUCAGCUCGUGCCGUGAGGUGUCGGGUUAAGUCCCGUAACGAGCGCAACCCUCGCCCUUAGUUAUAUGUGUCUAAGGGAACUGCCCGGGACAACUGGGAGGAAGGUGGGGAUGACGUCAAGUCAGCAUGGCCCUUAUGUCCAGGGCUACAUACACGCUACAAUGGCCGGUACAAUGGGUUGCCAAGCCGUGAGGCGGAGCCAAUCCUCCAAAGUCGGUCUCAGUUCGAAUUGUAGGCUGCAACUCGCCUACAUGAAGCUGGAGUUGCUAGUAACCGCGCGUCAGCUAUAGCGCGGUGAAUACGUUCCCGGGCCUUGUACACACCGCCCGUCACGUCAUGGAAGCUGGCAAUACCCGAAGCCGGUGGGCCAACCCGCAAGGGGGGCAGCCGUCGAAGGUAGGGCUGGUGACUGGGACGAAGUCGUAACAAGGUA
This 1445-nucleotide ribosomal RNA is filed under the name metagenome. RNAcentral describes it as "bacterial SSU rRNA". It matches the Rfam family "Bacterial small subunit ribosomal RNA". The record is from RNAcentral.